GGUGGACAAACCUCUUCUCAGCUCCCGGAAAGGAGCAUGGCAGAGAGCCUGUUAUCGUGGGUUGCCUGUGAAUAUGGAGGAAUCAGACAGGCAGCUGGAGGAUCUCUGGGUUACAGGUGCAGUGAGAGCUGAAGGUCUGAGCUGCACCACAGUCCAUAAUUUAUGAGAACAUAUCAAAAAUGAAGGACCCACAAUGUGACAGAUGAAGCUCAUCCAAACGAAAAUGAGAGAGGAAGAGAUUUCUUAGUCAUCAAUACUUAUGACAAAGCUUGGAAUUUUAUGGGUAAAGAGGGGAAUUCGAUAAAGCAGGAACUUGAACCUGGGUUUCCACAUCUGAG
This is a long non-coding RNA of Mauremys reevesii (Reeves's turtle), 338 nucleotides long. RefSeq lists it as uncharacterized. NCBI's taxonomy places the organism in Eukaryota, Metazoa, Chordata, Testudines, Geoemydidae. The transcript has 3 exons. The record is from RefSeq and is a predicted model, not a curated record.